AACCAACAGGGAUUGCCUUAGUAACGGCGAGUGAAGCGGCAACAGCUCAAAUUUGAAAUCUGGCCCUCGGGCCCGAAUUGUAAUUUGUAGAGGAUGCUUUUGGUUAGGUGCCUUCCGAGUUCCCUGGAACGGGACGCCUUAGAGGGUGAGAGCCCCGUACGGUUGGAUACCGAGCCUCUGUAAAGCUCCUUCGACGAGUCGAGUAGUUUGGGAAUGCUGCUCUAAAUGGGAGGUAAAUUUCUUCUAAAGCUAAAUAUUGGCCAGAGACCGAUAGCGCACAAGUAGAGUGAUCGAAAGAUGAAAAGUACUUUGAAAAGAGGGUUAAACAGCACGUGAAAUUGUUGAAAGGGAAGCGUUUAUGACCAGACUUUUUCUGGGCGGAUCAUCCGGUGUUCUCACCGGUGCACUUUGCCCAGUUUAGGCCAGCAUCGGUUUCCGUAGGGGGAUAAAAUUAGUGGGAACGUGGCUCCCUCGGGAGUGUUAUAGCCUGCUAAAUAAUACCUUUACGGGGACCGAGGUUCGCGCUCUGCAAGGAUGCUGGCGUAAUGGUCAUCAACGACCCGUCUUGAAACACGGACCAAGGAGUCGAACAUUUGUGCGAGUGUUUGGGUGUUAAACCCUCACGCGUAAUGAAAGUGAAUGGAGGUGAGAGCCCUUACGGGUGCAUCAUCGACCGAUCUUGAAGUUUACGGAUGGAUUUGAGUAAGAGCAUAGCUGUUCGGACCCGAAAGAUGGUGAACUAUGCGUGGAUAGGGUGAAGCCAGAGGAAACUCUGGUGGAGGCUCGCAGCGGUUCUGACGUGCAAAUCGAUCGUCAAAUCUGCGCAUGGGGGCGAAAGACUAAUCGAACCAUUGAAAACCAGCGGUAAAUUUGAUUUACUAGGUGGUUAAGAGGCGGCCCGAGAGGGAGAACUAGUACCUAGGUUGGG
This 928-nucleotide ribosomal RNA is filed under the name Amphisphaeria thailandica. RNAcentral's name for it is "partial large subunit ribosomal RNA". It matches the Rfam family "Eukaryotic large subunit ribosomal RNA", at positions 63 to 1447 of the family's 3401-position model. Lineage: Eukaryota; Fungi; Ascomycota; Sordariomycetes; Amphisphaeriales; Amphisphaeriaceae. The record is from RNAcentral.